GUGGGGAAUCUUCCACAAUGGACGAAAGUCUGAUGGAGCAACGCCGCGUGAGUGAAGAAGGUUUUCGAAUCGUAAAGCUCUGUUGUCGGGGAUGAAUGUUGAGACCGAGAAUAUUGGUUUCAAAUGACGGUACCUGACGAGGAAGCCACGGCUAACUACGUGCCAGCAGCCGCGGUAAUACGUAGGUGGCGAGCGUUGUCCGGAAUUAUUGGGCGUAAAGGGAGCGCAGGUGGGAAAGUAAGUCUGUCUUAAAAGUGCGGGGCUCAACCCCGUGAUGGGAUAGAAACUAUUUUUCGUGAGUGCAGGAGAGGAAAGCGGAAUUCCUAGUGUAGCGGUGAAAUGCGUAGAUAUUAGGAGGAACACCAGUGGCGAAAGCGGCUUUCUGGACGACAACUGACGCUGAGGCGCGAAAGCCAGGGGAGCAAACGGGAUUAGAUACCCGUGUAGUCC
Molecule: ribosomal RNA, 450 nt
Filed under: uncultured bacterium
Lineage: Bacteria
Description: partial 16S ribosomal RNA
Rfam family: Bacterial small subunit ribosomal RNA
Source: RNAcentral